Molecule: ribosomal RNA, 500 nt
Filed under: uncultured bacterium
Lineage: Bacteria
Description: partial 16S ribosomal RNA
Rfam family: Bacterial small subunit ribosomal RNA
Source: RNAcentral
AUUGAACGCUGGCGGCAUGCCUUACACAUGCAAGUCGAACGGCAGCACGGGAGCAAUCCUGGUGGCGAGUGGCGAACGGGUGAGUAAUGUAUCGGAACGUGCCCAGUCGUGGGGGAUAACGUAGCGAAAGCUACGCUAAUACCGCAUACGAUCUAUGGAUGAAAGCGGGGGAUCGCAAGACCUCGCGCGAUUGGAGCGGCCGAGAUCAGAUUAGGUAGUUGGUGGGGUAAAGGCUCACCAAGCCGACGAUCUGUAGCUGGUCUGAGAGGACGACCAGCCACACUGGGACUGAGACACGGCCCAGACUCCUACGGGAGGCAGCAGUGGGGAAUUUUGGACAAUGGGCGCAAGCCUGAUCCAGCAAUGCCGCGUGCAAGAUGAAGGCCUUCGGGUUGUAAACUGCUUUUGUACGGAACGAAACGGCGAGCUCUAAUACAGUUUGCUAAUGACGGUACCGUAAGAAUAAGCACCGGCUAACUACGUGCCAGCCGCCGCAGUAA